UCUUCCCAUUCCGAACAGAGAAGUUAAGCCCAAUAGCGUCGAUGGUACUGCAAUUAUGUGGGAGAGUAGAUAGCCGCCGUUU
This 82-nucleotide ribosomal RNA is filed under the name Paludibacteraceae bacterium. Lineage: Bacteria; Pseudomonadati; Bacteroidota; Bacteroidia; Bacteroidales; Paludibacteraceae. The record is from RNAcentral.